This 220-nucleotide ribosomal RNA is filed under the name uncultured bacterium. RNAcentral describes it as "partial 16S ribosomal RNA". It matches the Rfam family "Bacterial small subunit ribosomal RNA", at positions 524 to 742 of the family's 1533-position model. The record is from RNAcentral.
UACGUAGGGUGCAAGCGUUAAUCGGAAUUACUGGGCGUAAAGCGUGCGCAGGCGGCUAUGCAAGACAGAUGUGAAAUCCCCGGGCUCAACCUGGGAACUGCAUUUGUGACUGCAUAGCUAGAGUACGGUAGAGGGGGGAUGGAAUUCCGCGUGUAGCAGUGAAAUGCGUAGAUAUGCGGAGGAACACCGAUGGCGAAGGCAAUCCCCUGGACCUGUACUG